RNAcentral lists this ribosomal RNA (484 nucleotides) under uncultured bacterium. RNAcentral describes it as "partial 16S ribosomal RNA". It matches the Rfam family "Bacterial small subunit ribosomal RNA", at positions 30 to 507 of the family's 1533-position model. The record is from RNAcentral.
AUUGAACGCUGGCGGCAGGCCUAACACAUGCAAGUCGAGCGGAUGAAGGGAGCUUGCUCCUGGAUUCAGCGGCGGACGGGUGAGUAAUGCCUAGGAAUCUGCCUGGUAGUGGGGGAUAACGUCCGGAAACGGGCGCUAAUACCGCAUACGUCCUGAGGGAGAAAGUGGGGGAUCUUCGGACCUCACGCUAUCAGAUGAGCCUAGGUCGGAUUAGCUAGUUGGCGGGAUAAAGGCCUACCAAGGCGACGAUCCGUAACUGGUCUGAGAGGAUGAUCAGUCACACUGGAACUGAGACACGGUCCAGACUCCUACGGGAGGCAGCAGUGGGGAAUAUUGGACAAUGGGCGAAAGCCUGAUCCAGCCAUGCCGCGUGUGUGAAGAAGGUCUUCGGAUUGUAAAGCACUUUAAGUUGGGAGGAAGGGCAGUAAGUUAAUACCUUGCUGUUUUGACGUUACCAGCAGAAUAAGCACCGGCUAACUUCGUG